This 562-nucleotide ribosomal RNA is filed under the name Listeria monocytogenes. RNAcentral describes it as "partial 23S ribosomal RNA". It matches the Rfam family "Bacterial large subunit ribosomal RNA", at positions 1130 to 1694 of the family's 2925-position model. Lineage: Bacteria; Bacillati; Bacillota; Bacilli; Caryophanales; Listeriaceae. The record is from RNAcentral.
GUGCGUAAUAGCUCACUAGUCGAGUGACACUGCGCCGAAAAUGUACCGGGGCUAAACAUAUUACCGAAGCUGUGGAUUGUCCUUUGGACAAUGGUAGGAGAGCGUUCUAAGGGCGUCGAAGCAUGAUCGCAAGGACAUGUGGAGCGCUUAGAAGUGAGAAUGCCGGUGUGAGUAGCGAAAGACGGGUGAGAAUCCCGUCCACCGAUUGACUAAGGUUUCCAGAGGAAGGCUCGUCCGCUCUGGGUUAGUCGGGUCCUAAGCUGAGGCCGACAGGCGUAGGCGAUGGAUAACAGGUUGAUAUUCCUGUACCACCUAGUAUCGUUUUAAUCGAUGGGGGGACGCAGUAGGAUAGGCGAAGCGUGCUGUUGGAGUGCACGUCCAAGCAGUAAGGCUGAGUGUUAGGCAAAUCCGGCACUCAUAAGGCUGAGCUGUGAUGGGGAGAGGAAAUUGUUUCCUCGAGUCGUUGAUUUCACACUGCCGAGAAAAGCCUCUAGAUAGAUAACAGGUGCCCGUACCGCAAACCGACACAGGUAGUCAAGAUGAGAAUUCUAAGGUGAGCGAG